Molecule: long non-coding RNA, 1129 nt
Organism: Heterocephalus glaber (naked mole-rat)
Lineage: Eukaryota; Metazoa; Chordata; Mammalia; Rodentia; Bathyergidae
Source: Ensembl
CCUGGGUGUUUUCACCGGAAGCCUUUCCCGGAGCUGUUGGGUGGAGGCCACUGAUUUUUCUCCUGUGUCUGACAGAGUUUACAAGUUACCGUCUAAAGGUGUCUGUCUUGCAUGGGAGAUAAGAAAGCAUGGUUUUGAUGAAAAAUAAGGAUGAGUGGCAGAAGAUCAAUUAGGAAGCUGCUGCAUUUGUCCAUGAGAAGAGAUGAAGAUUUGGAUGUGAUUGAAAGCACUGGGACACAGAUAAGUACAAUGGAGGGGAAAAAACAUAAAAUUAAUAAAAACAGAGAAAGGCAAGGAAAAUAAAUCUUACAUAUUUCUGUAAGGGUGAAAAAGGAACUAUCUGCUUACCGCAUAUGAUAAAGGAUCAUGGCAAAUAGCCCUAUAACAAAAGAUAGGUUAACAAGAGAAAAGCAUCACUCACUUACUUGAUUUGCUUUUGAACUGGGGAUCAAACCCAGGGCCUCAUGCAUGCUAAGCAUGCACUCUACCACUGAGCUAUACCUCUAGCCCCAUUAUGUAUUUAUUAAUAUGCAUAAGUAUGGGAGUCAUAUAAAAUGCAAAACUCUCGAGUUCUAUCCCUGGUACCCCCCAAAAAAUACAAAAUUCAAAGGCAGGGCCCUAUGGUUGAAGGUUAACUUCUCUUCUUCAUAAGGGAGAGGGAAGUGGAGCCCGUUGGCAAUUUUAGAAGGGUGGCACAUAAUUUCUAGAAGAAAUAAAUGCAUCCUGAAAACACACAGUACCCUGAGACAAAAUUCCUCUGGGCUCUGGGUGCUGGGUUUUCUCUUUAGUCUCCUCCCCUAUAAUACACCUUUAGUUUUUCUUGGUUAAUAAAAUUUCAGUAAGAAGAUUGAAGACAAUUGUAUUCCUCUUUGGUCGAUCUGGUCUCUAGAUACAUAAAGGAACCUCAGGGCAACCUUGCCCUGUGUUUUGGAAGAGAAAGAGGAUCAGAGACAGAAGGUGAGAUCCUUGGCUCUACCAUGUGCUCCUCUCCAUGUUCUGAAUCGUCACAGGUCCAAAAGCAAAUGCAGUCAAGGCACCAUGGACUGAAACCUCUGAAACCAUGAGCCAAAAUAAACUUUUACUCCUUUAAGCUCAUUUAUUUCUGGUACCUGUCACCACAACAGAAGCU